CAGCAGCCGCGGUAAUACGUAGGUGGCAAGCGUUGUCCGGAAUUAUUGGGCGUAAAGGGCUCGCAGGCGGUUUCUUAAGUCUGAUGUGAAAGCCCCCGGCUCAACCGGGGAGGGUCAUUGGAAACUGGGAAACUUGAGUGCAGAAGAGGAGAGUGGAAUUCCACGUGUAGCGGUGAAACGCGUAGAGAUGUGGAGGAACACCAGUGGCGAAGGCGACUCUCUGGCCCGUAACUGACGCUGAGGAGCGAAAGCGUGGGGAGCGAACAGGAUUAGAUACCCCAGUAGUCCCUGUCUCUUAUAC
RNAcentral lists this ribosomal RNA (301 nucleotides) under uncultured bacterium. RNAcentral's name for it is "partial 16S ribosomal RNA". It matches the Rfam family "Bacterial small subunit ribosomal RNA", at positions 509 to 807 of the family's 1533-position model. The record is from RNAcentral.